RNAcentral lists this long non-coding RNA (865 nucleotides) under Rattus norvegicus (Norway rat). RNAcentral's name for it is "long non-coding RNA NONRATT004485". The record is from RNAcentral. Lineage: Eukaryota; Metazoa; Chordata; Mammalia; Rodentia; Muridae.
CCGGAGAGAGCGGUCCAAGUUGGGCUCCAUCUCUGCCCUGGCUAGCUGCUCCGCAGAACCCUGCCUGCCCGGAAAGCGCGGAGAAAAUUCAGCCGAACCCACUCUCGCCCUUUCCCUACCCCCAACGCCUGGAGAGGUCGGGUAAGAGAAAAAGGUUGGGAAGGAUGAGCCCCUGGCCUGAGGGGGGGGGGUCCUGCUGCCCCACGUCCGAGGACCUCACGCGCACCCAGGACUUCUAUCCCUAGGCCUGGUUCCCGCGCCCAUGCUCCGGGCGACGUGCCCACCCUGGGCGAGCAGCCCGAGGCUGGAUCUCAGGGACGUCAGCUCCCUAGCAGAGGCCCAGGCGUGGAGACUUCAUUCACAGGUGUUUCCCCACCCCAGCAGACGGCGAUGACCCCCAAGCCAGCCGGACCCCCGGACGGGGGCUGGGGCUGGGUGGUGGCGGCCGCAGCAUUCGCCGUGAACGGGCUCUCCUACGGGCUCUUACGCUCCCUGGGCCUUGCCCUCCCCGACCUCGCGGAGCACUUUGAACGAAGCGCCCAGGACACUGCGUGGGUCAGCGCCCUGGCCUUGGCCGUGCAGCAGGCAGCCAGCUUCCUAAGGGAUAAGACAGGAGACUUCAGUGCCUCUUUCCUGGUGUGCAGUUCUUUCAUCCUCUCUGGCAGCUUCAUCUACAUGGGGCUGCCCAGAGCCCUCCCCUCCUGCCGCCCAGCCUCACCUCCCGCUACCCCUCCGCCUGAGAGAGGGGAACUGCUCCCAGUCCCACAAGUCUCCCUGCUCUCCACGGGGGGCAGCAGCUCCAUCCGGGAUACCACUUGUUGAUCAUUUUCUUGGUUGACUCCCUUAAUAAAGAAUUUUUAUCUUA